Molecule: long non-coding RNA, 1955 nt
Organism: Pseudophryne corroboree (corroboree frog)
Lineage: Eukaryota; Metazoa; Chordata; Amphibia; Anura; Myobatrachidae
Exons: 3
Source: RefSeq, a predicted model, not a curated record
UGACGGCAUAGGAAAACUCAGUGAAGGCCGAUCAUGUGAUUAGAACACCAGCAGGAGAAGACCGGAGAGGAGAAGCAAAUGCAGAUGACUACUCCAGGAACAUCAGGCCGCUUGGAGGGGCUAAAACCGAAUAGGCCUCGUCCUUUCUCUCCGCAACCGCGUAGAGAAGGGACGGGGCCCUAUCCUGCUGACGUCACUAGGAGAAGGUUGAGAUGCGGGAUACCUAUUCACUUGUUCAGGGGGACUACCGAAAAAAUAAGAUUUUAAACCUACCGGAUCAGCCUCUGCAAACUAGAUAUGCGCCUUUGAUUGUGGGAUGAAAAGGCGUGCUGUGCAAACUUCACAUCAAGGUCCAACUUCUAUCACUUUAGAGUCACCGGUUUUGUUAUAUAAGUAAUAAGAAUUUACUUCUAAAAUGUUACUAAUAUUGCAAAAAUGUAGGUGGUAUAAAGUUCAAGUUCUUUUGUGGGGUGGAAACAUCUUGGUGGCUUCUACACGCAGCAAAAACAGGCCCUCUCCACCCCAUAUCUCCUUCAGAAAUCUCAUCUCUUCCCACACACUCAAAAGAGGAAGCCAUUUUCUGGGAUGUACAGACAUUGAUGUGAAAACAUAAUUCCACUACGGACUUCUGACAUCACUGAGGUAUUUGAGAGCCACACAGUAGGCAGAACCAUGUUGUUGGCUGAUCCAUUGUUUUAAAGCAGCCUGUCCAUUCACUAAGAGCUAGAGACAGGGAAACUCUUUUGAGUAUCCAGUCAGAAAGUCCAUAUUCAGAGGGCAAUAUUCAAUUAUUUUCACCCCCUUCCCCACUCGUUGUGUUUCUGCUGACGGGCAUGGUAUAAUCAUUUCAGUUCGCUAUUCCCGGAGUAGUGAGGGCACCCAACCCUUUACACAGCUAACCUUAAUUACUAUGGGCGCAAUAUGCGCGAUAACGGGGAUCACUUUAGAAAGGAGAUUGGGCAUGAUAUAUCAUUUGAAUACCGCCCAGAAUGUUGACAUGGACUUUAGGUCUGCAUCAAAUAUGUUGAAAUUGAAAAAUGUCAACAUGGUCAUAUUGUCUACAUUCAAAAUGUCGACACCCGCAUGUUGGCAUACAGGGUUUUUUACUUAUCUUUAGGGCUGGGUUAGGUUUAGGGAUAGGGUAAAAUAAGCAAAAAGCGGUAUGUCGACACAAUGGCGUCAACAUGUAAAAUUUUGGCAUUAUAAAUAUGGCAACAUUUUCCCCUUGUUGAGUGUCAACAUAUUGGUUGUCAACCUGAAGUCCAUGUUGACCAUCUGAAUGUAUACUUUUUAUACCACAGCCACACUUUUGGCCUCAGAAGUUGCUUUCUUGCAAAUAUGGAUACAAAAUGGCUGCCUCCAUUGUAUGCCUCGUGAUGUCAGUACAUUCUGGCGAUUUGCUAGAUUUGAAUAUUGGUUCGGCUUACAAAAUGGCUCCUUAUACUGUAUGAAGGCAAUUAUUUAAAAUCUUGUAUCAUGUUAAUACUGUACCCAUCUGUCCACGCACAGUUUACCUGGGUUUACUCUGUUUCUGGCAAGAAUAUACUGCAUAAUAUAAUGAAAUACAAUCAGUGCUGCCUGUAUUACAAGCUGUAUAACAUUUAGUAAAGUAGAACUGUGUAGAAUUUCCUGUCAGUCUGGCUUUGUAUCAUGACCUCUCCCCAAAUGGCAAAAACAUUUAUAACAUUUUCACUAUUGCAAGUACACAAUAAUAACAAAGAAGAAGAAAUCUUAUAAAUGCAAUAUGGAGCGUUCCAAAGUUUAAGAAACAUGUGAUAUGAGAAUACAUUAAUAUCUCAAAGACAUUCUAAAAGCACCGUCAUAGCAAUAUGCAGAGAACAUAUAGUACGCCAGUCAUAUCCUGUUAUAUACAUGUCUAGCACUUAUCGUUGCGUUUCAAUUUAUGGGCCCCAUGUAUCAUUUAUUCUGUGUUUUUGUAUGAGGAUUUUUUUUUU